Antechinus flavipes (yellow-footed antechinus) is the source of this 500-nucleotide long non-coding RNA. RefSeq lists it as uncharacterized. NCBI's taxonomy places the organism in Eukaryota, Metazoa, Chordata, Mammalia, Dasyuromorphia, Dasyuridae. The record is from RefSeq and is a predicted model, not a curated record. The transcript has 3 exons.
AAGAAAGGAAGAAGAGAGAAAGAAAGAACGGAAUGAAGAGAAAAAGAAAGGAAGAAAAGAAAGAAAGAAAGGGAAAAAAAAGAAAAGGAGAAAGGAAGAAAGAAAAACAGUCCUGCAUGAGAGAGAAGGAGAGGCCUUUUCCUGACAGGAGGAAAGGCAGAAUGCCAGGAAAGGUAAUUGGAAGCUGCUUUUAAAGCCAGAAAUGAAGAGGAAGAAUUUCAAUGUAUUAUCUCCAAAUUAAAGAUCAAUGUCACAGAACUCUGGAGUUGAUAGAAAUCUUACCUGAAGAAUUUCUUCCAUAAUCAACAAGAGAUCAUCUAGUUUUUUGCUUGAAGACUUUCAAUGAAGAAGAAUCUUUUCCUGAUUCAGUUCCCCUAUCCUCAUUUCACCUUUGAAAAGCUUUAAUUGCGCAUUAAUCCAGCAUAAAGGAUUUAUUAAGUGACUCCUGUAUUUCAGGAAUUUAUGUUGGAAAUACAAAAAUAAAAUCAAAAUAAUACCUA